GGCCGGUUAGCUCAGUUGGUUAGAGCGUUGUGCUAAUAACGCCAAGGUCGUGGGUUCGAUCCCCAUACUGGCCA
Molecule: non-coding RNA, 74 nt
Organism: Salmo salar (Atlantic salmon)
Lineage: Eukaryota; Metazoa; Chordata; Actinopteri; Salmoniformes; Salmonidae
Source: Rfam